This 497-nucleotide ribosomal RNA is filed under the name uncultured bacterium. RNAcentral describes it as "partial 16S ribosomal RNA". It matches the Rfam family "Bacterial small subunit ribosomal RNA", at positions 28 to 507 of the family's 1533-position model. The record is from RNAcentral.
GAUGAACGCUGGCGGCGUGCCUAAUACAUGCAAGUCGAGCGAACAGACGAGGAGCUUGCUCCUCUGACGUUAGCGGCGGACGGGUGAGUAACACGUGGAUAACCUACCUAUAAGACUGGGAUAACUUCGGGAAACCGGAGCUAAUACCGGAUAAUAUAUUGAACCGCAUGGUUCAAUAGUGAAAGACGGUUUUGCUGUCACUUAUAGAUGGAUCCGCGCCGCAUUAGCUAGUUGGUAAGGUAACAGCUUACCAAGGCAACGAUGCGUAGCCGACCUGAGAGGGUGAUCGGCCACACUGGAACUGAGACGCGGUCCAGACUCCUACGGGAGGCAGCAGUAGGGAAUCUUCCGCAAUGGGCGAAAGCCUGACGGAGCAACGCCGCGUGAGUGAUGAAGGUCUUCGGAUCGUAAAACUCUGUUAUUAGGGAAGAACAAAUGUGUAAGUAACUAUGCACGUCUUGACGGUACCUAAUCAGAAAGCCACGGCUAACUACGUG